GUGCCAGCCGCCGCGGUAAUACAGAGGGUGCAAGCGAAAAUCGGAAUUACUGGGCGUAAAGCGCGGGUAGGUGGUUCAGUAAGAUGGAAGUGAAUUCGGCGGGCUCAACCUGGGAACUGCUUUCAUAACUGCUGGGCUAGAGUACGGUAGAGCCUAGUGGAAUCUCCUGUGUAGCGGUGAAAUGCGUAGAUAUAGAAAGGAACACCAGUGGCGAAGGCGACUACCUGGACUGGUACUGACACUGAGGUGCGUUAGCGUGGGGAGCAUUCAGGAGUAGAAGCCCCGUUAGUCC
Molecule: ribosomal RNA, 292 nt
Filed under: uncultured prokaryote
Description: partial 16S ribosomal RNA
Rfam family: Bacterial small subunit ribosomal RNA
Source: RNAcentral